RNAcentral lists this ribosomal RNA (200 nucleotides) under uncultured bacterium. Its description in RNAcentral is "partial 16S ribosomal RNA". It matches the Rfam family "Bacterial small subunit ribosomal RNA", at positions 8 to 235 of the family's 1533-position model. The record is from RNAcentral.
AGAGUUUGAUCCUGGCUCAGAUUGAACGCUGGCGGCAGGCUUAACACAUGCAAGUCGAGCGCACGUAGCAAUACGUGAGCGGCAGACGGGAGAGUAACACGUGGGAACGUACCCUUCGGUUCGGAAUAACUCAGGGAACUUGAGCUAAUACCGGAUACGUCCGAAAGGAGAAAGAUUUAUCGCCGAAGGAUCGGCCCGCG